This 433-nucleotide ribosomal RNA is filed under the name uncultured bacterium. RNAcentral's name for it is "partial 16S ribosomal RNA". It matches the Rfam family "Bacterial small subunit ribosomal RNA", at positions 29 to 507 of the family's 1533-position model. The record is from RNAcentral.
AACGAACGCUGGCGGCAUGCCUAACACAUGCGAGUCGAACGAGACCUUCGGGUCUAGUGGCGCACGGGUGCGUACCGCGUGGGAACCUGCCCUUAGGUUCGGAAUAACUCCCCGAAAGGGGUGCUCAUACCGGAUAAUGUCUUCGGACCAAAGAUUUAUUGCCUUUGGAUGGGCCCUCGUUGGAUUAGCUAGUUGGUAGGGUAAAAGCCUACCAAGGCGACGAUCCAUAGCUGGUCUGUGAGGAUGAUCAGCCACACUGGGACUGAGACACGGCCCAGACUCCUACGGGAGGCAGCAGUGGGGAAUAUUGGACAAUGGGCGAAAGCCUGAUCCAGCAAUGCCGCGUGAGUGAUGAAGGCCUUAGGGUUGUAAAGCUCUUUUACCCGGGAUGAUAAUGACAGUACCGGGAGAAUAAGCACCGGCUAACUCCGUG